UACGUAGGGGGCAAGCGUUGUCCGGAAUCAUUGGGCGUAAAGAGCGUGUAGGCGGCCCGGUAAGUCCGCUGUGAAAGUCGGGGGCUCAACCCUCGAAUGCCGGUGGAUACUGUCGGGCUAGAGUGCGGAAGAGGCGAGUGGAAUUCCUGGUGUAGCGGUGAAAUGCGUAGAUAUCUGGAGGAACACCGGUGGCGAAGGCGGCGUCCUGGACCAACACUGACACUGAGGAGCGAAAGCCAGGGGAGCAAACGGG
RNAcentral lists this ribosomal RNA (253 nucleotides) under uncultured bacterium. RNAcentral's name for it is "partial 16S ribosomal RNA". It matches the Rfam family "Bacterial small subunit ribosomal RNA", at positions 524 to 776 of the family's 1533-position model. The record is from RNAcentral.